RNAcentral lists this ribosomal RNA (253 nucleotides) under uncultured bacterium. RNAcentral describes it as "partial 16S ribosomal RNA". It matches the Rfam family "Bacterial small subunit ribosomal RNA", at positions 524 to 776 of the family's 1533-position model. The record is from RNAcentral.
UACAGAGGGUGCAAGCGUUGCUCGGAUUUACUGGGCGUAAAGCGUACGCAGACGGUUUGGUAGGUCGGAUGUGAAAGCCCCGGGCUCAACCCGGGAAUUGCAUCCGAAACCACCUCACUCGAGUGUGGGAGAGGGAAGCGGAAUUCCUGGUGUAGAGGUGAAAUUCGUAGAUAUUGGGAAGAACACCGGUGGCGAAGGCGGCGACCUGGUCCAUUACUGACGCUGAGGAGCGAAAGCGUGGGGAGCGAACAGG